AGCAGCCGCGGUAAUUCCAGCUCCAAUAGCGUAUAUUAAAGUUGUUGCAGUUAAAAAGCUCGUAGUUGAAUUUCGGGGUCAGUAGGUUGGUCGUGCCACUGGUAUGCACUGGUCUCACUGAUUCCUCCUUCCUGAUGAACCGUAAUGCCAUUAAUUUGGUGUUGCAGGGAAUCUGGACUGUUACUUUGAAAAAAUUAGAGUGUUUAAAGCAGGCUAACGCUUGAAUACAUUAGCAUGGAAUAAUGAAAUAGGACGAUCGAUCCUAUUUUGUUGGUUUCUAGGAUUGACGUAAUGAUUAAUAGGGAUAGUUGGGGGCAUUAGUAUUCAAUUGUCAGGGGUGAAAUUCUUGGAUUUAUUGAAGACUAACUACUGCGAAAGCAUUUGCCAAGGAUGUUUUCAUUAAUCAAGAACGAAAGUUAGGGGAUCGAAGACGAUCAGAUACCGUCGUAGUCUUAACCAUAAACUAUGCCGACUAGGGAUCGGAUGAUGUUAAUUUUUAAUGACUCAUUCGGCGCCUUAA
This 520-nucleotide ribosomal RNA is filed under the name uncultured Glomus. RNAcentral's name for it is "SSU rRNA". It matches the Rfam family "Eukaryotic small subunit ribosomal RNA", at positions 569 to 1091 of the family's 1831-position model. Lineage: Eukaryota; Fungi; Glomeromycota; Glomeromycetes; Glomerales; Glomeraceae. The record is from RNAcentral.